This is a long non-coding RNA of Cornus florida, 1681 nucleotides long. RefSeq lists it as uncharacterized. The record is from RefSeq and is a predicted model, not a curated record. The transcript has 9 exons. NCBI's taxonomy places the organism in Eukaryota, Viridiplantae, Streptophyta, Magnoliopsida, Cornales, Cornaceae.
UUCAGAUAUUUUAUUCUCUCUCAUCUCUUUCUCUCUCUCUACCUACAACUUUCUAGAAAAAACACAGAUCCAUUGUUCGUUCUUUUUUCUUUAGCAUAAACCACCAUUUUUUUUUUUUCUCUUUGUUCGACGCUUCUUUAUGAACUGCUUCUUUAUGAACUGGACUUCAAUGGCGAUUAUUGCCUGUUAUGAACUUACAAUUAUUCGUCUUUUUAUCAUGCUCACGUUUAACUUGAAAUACUCGGUAAUGAUAAUUGGAUGAAGCGUCUUAAAGAAAUGGUCUCUCGUUGAUUUCUUUUCCACUUAUCAGACUUGUAGCUCAUCUAUGAAAUCUUGCUGGUAGAAGCCUGAUGUAACAACUGUGAGGCAUUGGUUACAGUUUUUGGCUUGCUUUCCUAAUGCAGUUGUAGCCUGGUGCAAGUUUCAAGGACAGAAUAACAGGGUUCAUUGCUUUUGCUGAUGCUUCAUUGUUUUGAGGCUGUGGCUGGCUUAGCUGAAGAUUGAUAUGUGCGUGAAAGUCGUUUCUGUUGGGUCGAUCAGGAAUAUAAGAACUUCUGUUUGAUUCAGUCACACCCCCUGCACAGUGAAGCUGGUACAUAAACUUCAGCUUAGUAGCUACUCAACAAUUUUCACUUUCCGGAUUCAAAGAUUAAAAGGGGAAACAAUAGCUACAUUUAGGAUUAUGCAUACGCUUUAUAUUGGGGGGACCAGGAACAGUACAAGAUGUAAACUGUGAUGGGUCUAAGCAUGCUUUACCUUUUUCAUACGGACACCUUUCAGACUCAUUUCGAGUUGAUUUUCCAGAUCCUGUAGAUCUUUGACGCUCAAACCAGAAAGUUGUUCUCCCAACAAAUGCCUGCAUUGCUUACAUUUCUUACACUGGAAUUGUAGGGUCAUAAACUACCAGCACUACAUUUGCUCUCUUCCUCCCUUCCUCUUCUCCCUCAAAAGAUGGAUUUCUUCAUUUGGACGCUUUUAGUUUGCAAAAUUCUAGCACUUUUGAUUGGUAAAAACAAACGAAUUAUCUUUCAAUGGAAUUAUGUUGAAACUUGACACUUGCGGACUAGUCAAGAGCUUCUUACUAGCAUCCGGUGUGUUUGUUAUGGGACCUGUUCAUUCUUCUGCAAAUGCACACAAAAGGUUAAAGCUCUACUUGACCCACUGGGAGAUGGAGCAUCGGCUUAAAUGCUGCUAUAUGCCUUUUUAUUUUGACCCCACCUACAAUCUUAUGCAGUUUAAAUUCACAAACUACCAAGAUGAUGAUAAAACUGCCAUCAGCUUCCAAUUGAUACUUCCAAAAUUUCCUCAAUAUUGUUUGAGCACUUUGUAGGUCAUGCAUGGCUGCCUAUGCCACAAAUCUGCAGUAUGUAAACUUGUUAGGAAUCUUACCUUGACUUCUGAAGUGGGAUUCAGCAAUUGAUGAUGUUCCUCUUUCACUUCCUUGUAUCGUUCGAUUAGAGAUUUCAUGCUGAGACAAAUUAGAAUCAAAUGAUUAUCUCUAUUCUCCACGUCUAUGCAUGUGCGAGUGGAACACAUGUGAUGUAACAGUACUUUUAUAUGAUAAGAUCAUGAUAUUUAGGAAAGCAAAAUAAAUGUCAAAAUCUAUUAAUUAGAAGUCUUCGAAUCUACAUGUUAUUAUUAUUUUGUUUUCUCAUCUAAAUUUUUAGUUGCAUCUUUCUUC